RNAcentral lists this ribosomal RNA (252 nucleotides) under uncultured bacterium. Its description in RNAcentral is "partial 16S ribosomal RNA". It matches the Rfam family "Bacterial small subunit ribosomal RNA", at positions 524 to 776 of the family's 1533-position model. The record is from RNAcentral.
UACGGGGGGGCAAGCGUUGUUCGGAAUUACUGGGCGUAAAGGGCUCGUAGGUGGCCAACUAAGUCAGACGUGAAAUCCCUCGGCUUAACCGGGGAACUGCGUCUGAUACUGGAUGGCUUGAGUUCGGGAGAGGGAUGCGGAAUUCCAGGUGUAGCGGUGAAAUGCGCAGAUAUCAGGAGGAACACCAGCGGCGAAGGCGGCGCUCUGGGCCGGAACUGACGCUGAGGAGCGAAAGCGUGGGGAGCAAACAGG